GCUCAAGUGUCUUAGUGGUUAGAGCGUCUGCCUCGGAUGCUGGAGGUUGUGGGUUCUAUCCCCUGUCGAGUCA
Non-coding RNA from Potamilus streckersoni, 73 nucleotides. NCBI's taxonomy places the organism in Eukaryota, Metazoa, Mollusca, Bivalvia, Unionida, Unionidae. The record is from the annotation of a GenBank genome assembly.